Molecule: ribosomal RNA, 440 nt
Filed under: uncultured bacterium
Lineage: Bacteria
Description: partial 16S ribosomal RNA
Rfam family: Bacterial small subunit ribosomal RNA
Source: RNAcentral
CCUACGGGAGGCAGCAGUGGGGAAUAUUGCACAAUGGGGGAAACCCUGAUGCAGCGACGCCGCGUGAGUGAAGAAGGAUUUCGGUAUGUAAAGCUCUAUCAGCAGGGAAGAAAAUGACGGUACCUGAUUAGGAAGCCCCGGCUAACUACGAGCCAGCAGGCGCGGUCAUCCGUAGGGGGCAAGCGUUAUCCGGAUGUACUGGGUGUAAAGGGAGCGUAGGCGGUGUUGCAAGUCAGAAGUGAAAGCCCGGGGCUUAACUCCGGGACUGCUUUUGAAACUGUGUAACUUGAGUGUAGGAGAGGUAGGCGGAAUGCCUGGUGUAGCGGUGAAAUGCGUAGAUAUCAGGAGGAACACCAGUUGCGAAGGCGGCUUACUGGGCUAUAACUGACGUUGAGGCUCGAAAGCGUGGGGAGCAAACAGGAUUAGAUACCCUUGUAGUC